Molecule: ribosomal RNA, 460 nt
Filed under: uncultured bacterium
Lineage: Bacteria
Description: partial 16S ribosomal RNA
Rfam family: Bacterial small subunit ribosomal RNA
Source: RNAcentral
CCUACGGGAGGCAGCAGUGAGGAAUAUUGGUCAAUGGCCGGAAGGCUGAACCAGCCAUGCCGCGUGAAGGUCAGUGCCCUAUGGGCGUUAAACUUCUUUUGUGCGGGAGCAAUAAUGGUCACGUGUGGCCAGACGAGAGUACCGUACGAAUAAGCAUCGGCUAACUCCGUGCCAGCAGCCGCGGUAAUACGGGGGAAGCAAGCGUUAUCCGGGGUUAUGGGUUUUGAAGGGUGCGUAGGCUGUGAGGUAAGUCAGCGGUGAAAUGCCCCCGCUCAACGGGGUGAAGUUCCAUUGAUACUGCCUUGCUGGAAUGCGGAUGCCGUGGGAGGAAUGUGUGGUGUAGCGGUGAAAUGCAUAGAUAUCACACAGAACACCGAUUGCGAAGGCAUCUCACGAAUCCGCGAUUGACGCUGAUGCACGAAAGCGUGGGUAUCAAACAGGAUUAGAUACCCGGGUAGUC